GGCUGGUCUAAGUGCAGUUGUGUUUACAACUAAUUGAUGACAACCAGUUAUAGAUUCCUUUGUUCCUUCACCACUCCCACUACUCUACAUGGCUAGUAAAA
Molecule: unclassified non-coding RNA, 101 nt
Organism: Otolemur garnettii (small-eared galago)
Lineage: Eukaryota; Metazoa; Chordata; Mammalia; Primates; Galagidae
Rfam family: Y RNA
About the family: Y RNAs are components of the Ro ribonucleoprotein particle (Ro RNP), in association with Ro60 and La proteins.
Source: Ensembl